Cyprinus carpio carpio is the source of this 5936-nucleotide long non-coding RNA. The record is from Ensembl. Lineage: Eukaryota; Metazoa; Chordata; Actinopteri; Cypriniformes; Cyprinidae.
UCCAUAUAAAGGUAUUCCUCUCCUGACACAUGUCAGAGGAAGAGUGACAGCUGUCAGCUUUUAUUAAGCUUCUGUGUCCGUAUGGCUUGAGCUUUUGGCUUAGUCACUGCUGCUAUACAAUGCAUCCUGCAAUGCAUUUUUACUUUCACAUGGGCUAGUAAUAUUCUAUUCUAUUACAUUUUUACCUACAAGUAAGGUAGAGUUUUUUUUUGUGUGACUUUUUAAUUUCCUCUCACUUUCAUAAGACCUUAUAAGACUUAUCAAAGCAUUCACUCAUAGCAUUACAAAAAAUAAAAUACUUUUUGCACCACUCUCAUGUCGUAAGCUCUUAGAUGAUUAUUAUAGCAUUACAAAUAAAUAAAAAUAAAUAAUUUGAUCAAAUACAAUAUCUCAUGAUGCAAUUACAUUAAUAGCUGAGUAUUGUCUUCUAAGUCAGUCUUGAUAGCUUUUGUGCUGAAUGUAAAAUGUCAAAUGUAAAAAAUAUCAAAUGUAAAAAAGGCAGAAACAAAAAGCAAAUUCCAAUGAAAAAAAUAGACAUUUAUUUUCAAAAAAGCACAUCAUAAUCAUUCAUUUUACAAAAUACAAUGCAAUAAAAGAUUUCAACUCAUUUGUGAGAAUGUUCACCUCUUGAAGCCUCAGAUCACAAUUGAAUACUUCCAUUUACAAAACAUUCAUAUUGCUUUAGAAUAAUAGCACACCCUAUGCAGAGACGUUACUGUUAUCCCACAUCUCUUGAAUAUCACACACUGAUGUUAUACAUUCAGAUAAACCUUUACAGAUAGCAUUAAUUAAGUGGAGCAGCUAUGCUAAAAAGCUAAAAGUCUCCAUGUGCUUGUAUCGCCUGCAGUACGGUGAAACCAAGGUCCAUUUUUGCUCUUGAUGUUGGCAGUGUUUGAGUUGUCCCCAUCCCCCACACCCCCUCUCUCCACACCCUCAGCGUCUGCACUCACUGGAUCCCUCUGCCAACACCUCAGCCCUGACAAUCAGUGGCUACUGGACUAUAUAUGAAGGCCGACUGCUCUAGCAUGGAGCCAGGUAUGAUUCCCCAGCUGACAGUCUGCAUCACAUCUGAUGGCUGAGAAGCAAGAGCUCCCACACACACACACACACACACACACACACACACACACAGCUGUAUACCUCACGGAUCAUGACCAGCUACAAACAAAAACACUUUAGGAACGAUCAUGCAUGUGAGCGUUCACAAACACAGCCUGCACCUUCUUACACACACACACUGGUGAUUGGGUAAAAAUACAUCUCCUGGGAAUAACUCAGGAUAUUUUCCAUGAUUGUACAAUGACAAUUUUCGUUGAUCACAAGUGGACGAUGCUAAAUAGAGGUGUAAGCAGAGUCUAAAAUGUUAUAAUCUUGUCCACUUUUGCCCACUUCCAGAGGUAAUCAAAUCUUAACCAGAUUGCUUUUGUAAUGUAGAUGUUAAAUAUGUUCGAAUAGCCACAAAAGACCGCCCACUAAUCCAAUGCAUGGGACAUGUUGUGGGAAAAUACACCAGAACGAUCAAUUUUGUUCAAAAACACACAGAUUGUGACCAAAAAUUGUAGUUGCGUUCUUUAUUCUUUCAAUUUGUUUCUAUGUUUUGUUUAGUCAAUACUAUUCAUACAGAAUGUCUCAAGGAAAUCCACAAAGAAACAGUAACAGGAGACACAUUUGAAAUGCAUUUUAAUACCAGGUGGAACAGUAUUUGUGUUCGCUGACCACUUGUGAUCGGAUCACUGAAAACGCAUCUUAAUACCUGGUGGAAACAGGGCCUUUUCAAUUUCAGUUGAACCAAAAAACAUCAUUCCAGCUGUGGAUAAUGCUUUGUGUAGCCAUGUGGCACAAAACGACUGCGACUAUGUGAAUGAUUGUUGCCUAUUGUCUAUAUUGUUGUCCUUUUCAUCUAUGCCACCAACAUUUAUGCUUUCUUAUCUCCUUUCUCAACACGUUUAGUGCAGGAGAUACUCUCGUUUCCUCCCAUUAACCACUGACAGGCUGAGUCUAAAACAUGCAGGAAUUUAAUUAUAUUCAGUCGGCUCUCAUAACUGCGGUCUGGUUGCAGGGGGGGUUGAGGUGGAGGUAGGUUGCAUACAUCAGGUAUAAGUGUGUGUGUGUGUGUGUGUGUGUGUGUGUGUGUGUGGGUGGGUGGGUGCAAGAAGGAGGGAGUUUUGCUGACACCUCUGUUGCCCACUUUCACGCUAAUUAACACUUCUCAGAUAACGGGUGACGGCAGUCUACACGACAGGCUCAAGAGGACAUUUGCACAGACCUUUCGUCUCUGAACAAUCUGUUCAGAUAAAGGUGCGCCCGAUACUUGCGACAAACGUGUGUGGGGGAGUAUAACAUACACAUGCACAAAUACCUAACUGACAGCAACAAAUGCACACACAUGAAACAGAUCUCCAUCGAUGCCACCUCAUUAUACCUUCCCUGCUGGUCACCAUCUGUAGAAAGUCAUUCAGUAACUCUGUCCGGACCAGGAUAACACAGGACCAUGGCGGUGUGAUUCAUGUAACUGUCCGUUCUUCAUGAGAAUGCCUCACUGCCACUCUGCACUAUAAUAUCAUGUCUUUUUGAUGCUUUCCUCCACACUGAAUUCAAAGGAAGCCCAUCACUCUAUGACAGCCGAUGUCAGUCCAUGUAGCACAUUUCAACAUGAGAAUGUGUGUAAAAUUAGUGGUCUGCUAGAAUUUAUCCUACCUUGGCGGGUGGUUGAUCACCAUAAACGAGAAGCUCUGUGUUCUACGAGUUAACCUAUAUAAGCUUGUAAUUACAGUUUUAGUAUAAAUUUGCCAGAGUAAUGCGCAUGUGCCAUCAUGCGAGGCUUCUAUAUGUUUUUGUGCAUCUGUAUGGGGGUGAUAUACAAGGAGGAGGUAAGCAUUAAGAGUCAUUUCUAGCACUCCCGUCUCGGCAGUGCCAAGAGGACGCACGGAGAUGAAAGGUAAUGCAAAUGGAAGUGUCAUACAGCGAGUUCCAUUCCAGACAGCCACCUUUGAAAUAAUUAAGACAGUGGAAUGGAGUGAAGCCCAAGUGAGGAAUAGCAAUUCCUCCGAGUGACUCCUUCUAAAGACAGCAAGCAACCAGGCACAACACUGCUGCGCAAAUGUUACGACAGCAUUUCCAUUUAAAUGUUUGUUAAAUUCGCCAAAAGGGUAUUUUAAUGUUAAUUUGAUGAUCUCUGUCAAAGGGACAUCAUUUUAAAUUAAUUAUGACCUUUUCGCGAUAAUCGAGAUGGUUAUUAAAUGUAAUCACAUUCAACACAAUCAUACUGAAACAUGUCAAAACGCAUUAAACGCACAAGAAUCUGGCCUUCUUUUUAGCCUUAGCCAAGGGCCACAAUUCCACGUAGAGCAAAUAAAUAUUCAUCUAGAAUUUUCUAAUCGCACACGGCUAAAGAUGAAUACAAAGUGGGUGAAAUGCAGAGGAUUCCAUGCUGUGUUGGAAUAUGGUGCAUGAGUUGUGCCGGAUAAGUACAAGGCUUGCCACAAGCAAUUCGCAUAUGUAGCUGACAAUAGUGGGGCGGGUUUAUGCAUGCAAAUGGGUUCCUUGACAUGCACGUUGCAAGCGACGCCAGCUAAUUUCAUAAUUGGUGAGCGUGAUUAUGCGAACACGGUGGCGCCGUAUUGGAACAUGCGAGGUGGGCUUGUAAUCAAGCGCGUGCCAGCGGACAUUUUAGGUCUAUCCUUUUCGCAUGCUCACCACUGCUAAAUUCUUUAAGAUGGUGGCACCUUGAAGGAAAUGCUACUGCGCUGACAGAGCCCAGCCCACCUCCUCCUACCCAGAGUCUGCAAUGCGAUUCUAGGAAGAUUGUGGGGCACCCUUCGCCUACCCCACCUGCAUGAUAAAUUUUUAAUUCCCACGUCACACUAAUAAGCAUAUUAAGCUGAGAAUCUGGAGCUUCCGCAUAUAUGCAUGAGUCCGCAUGCAUUAAAUUUGCAUAGAAUCGAAUGAUUCAAAUGUAAGUAUGCUAACGUGCAGCACUUCACUAUGCAACAUUUCUGACAUGUAUGACAAAUGCUGCCUUUGGAUUGUAACCCAUGUUUUUUUAGAGACACAAAAAGGAAUCUCUACUCAUUUUCUAAGAAAUGAGUGGCACAACCCUAAUUACACUGAUUUCACCUGAACUGAUUAUUAUGAUCAAAAUACUUAUGUUUUUUCAGCAAACAAACUCGCUAUAUAGCCAUAUUUAAACUGCAUUAUUCACUCCUGAAAAUAGGUUCCUUCAAACAGAUUAUUUAAAAAUUGUUAAAUGUACAGAAAAAAAAUAUUUUGUUGUAAUUUAUGAACAACGUAAGCUUUAAAUUACAUUUUUUUGUAAUUAAUACUGUCAAGCUUUUCAUCAGCAUGACAUGCAUCAUUUAGGCUCUUUCAACUGAUCUGAGUUUUGAGGGGUAUUUGAGACAAAUUGACUUAUUUAUAGCUCUGAGAAUUUGGAUAAUCUAAAUUCAGCAGACAACAGACACGCUCAGUCACACCGCUGCGGUUAACGCCAGUAACACAUACGGUGUCACAACACGGCUAUUGCACAGAUUGCUUCUGACUUAGAGUAAAAACAAUGUUAUUCAAUCUUGUAUUUUUAUCAUGUCAUUAUAAUAUUACCAACUAUAUACAUUGCGAAAAUAUAUACUAUAUUGUAUAAUACACAAUGACAGAUUUUUAACAAAAUCAACAGUAGCUUUACACAAUAAAUCAAAUCAAGAAUACAGACAUUUAAAAAAAAACUUACUGAACUGAUUUUGAAGUGUUCAGGUCAAGACUGAACUACCUAAAUGCAGGACUGAGCUGUGACAAUUUAACCAUUGCAAUUUGUGAGAAUUUUCUCAUGUUACUAAGGGUUAUAUAUCAUAUUAAAUGAAAAUAUUUUGACUUUUUUGCAAUCACUGUACUGCUUCUAAAUCUUGACACUGAGGUUAAUUUGCUCCAUGAAUCACGCUGCAGGGUUGUUCUAUUUGAACUAUUUGAACAUUUUGGCGCUAGACCUGCCUGCUUCUUUGGGAUGUCAAUGAGCUGUGUAUUGUGAGAAACCAGAUUGUUGCUGAAACACUGAUAUACACAAUUACACACACAACCAUGACAAAUCUUAAUGCAAACAUGCACAGAUACAUGUAAGUGGGUUCUUAAUACGCUCACAGAUCCACGCCCACACAAGUACAUACAUACAUGCAUAGAGAAUCUUCCACUUACUAACACACACAAACACACACACAUAUGGAACCUGUCCUGCUUUUGCACAUUGCCGUCAUACGCAUGUUAGAUCACAUCUUGUUGCCACAGCGACUCCAACCAGUGGGAACAACACUGUACAUGUGACCUGGUCGAGAAGGGGCGGGUCUACAGGAUGCUCUGUGCCAACAUGUAUCUGCUUGUUUAACAUCACAACACAUUUUAUGGCACUUUAUUGAGUUAGAUUGUAGGAAGUAAACUUAAACAUUCAUGUAAGCUUCCUAAAUCUAAAAUUGCUUCUUAUGAAAUCAGUGGGAUAUAGAUGAGAAAGAGAAAAAAAAUACUGUACUUAUCUCAUCACAACACUGUAAAAAGUAUCAAUAUGCCGCAAGUGAUUAACUAAAUGCCACUUUAUGCACGAAGCAAAAAUUUUAUUUUGUGGGGCAUACAAUCUGAAAGUAAACCUAAAUGUUCUACAAGCAUAACCUUUUUCUGUUUCUGCUCCACAUCUGUGGAACGCUCUUCCUUCAGUGAUUAGACACUCUCCAACACUGGACUGUUUUAAAAAGUCUUUAAAGACUCCUCUUUUUAAAGCUGUUUAUUGUAAUUGAGUGUACUUUGUUAUUACUGUAUUGUCAUUAUUGUUAUUAUUUUAUUGUGUUGUAGUACUUUGGGUUUCAGAAAGACGCAUUAAAAAUAAUAUGCAUUAUUAUUAUUAUUAUUAUUAUUAUUAUUAAUAACCAUAAGCUUUCUCAUCAUAAAAUGAGAUAUACAAA